This 288-nucleotide unclassified non-coding RNA is filed under the name uncultured fungus. RNAcentral describes it as "partial contains small subunit ribosomal RNA, internal transcribed spacer 1, and 5.8S ribosomal RNA". The stretch from base 1 to 73 matches the Rfam family "Eukaryotic small subunit ribosomal RNA", at positions 1759 to 1831 of the family's 1831-position model. The record is from RNAcentral. Lineage: Eukaryota; Fungi.
GCAAACUUGGUCAUUUAGAGGAAGUAAAAGUCGUAACAAGGUCUCCGUUGGUGAACCAGCGGAGGGAUCAUUACAGAGUUGCAAAACUCCCAAAAACCCCUGUGAACAUACCUAUGUUGUUGCUUCGGCAGGCAGCCCCAGGGCGGGGUCAUGGCCUGAAAAAGGAGCCUGCCGGAGCGCCUAAACUCUUCUGUAUUUUUAAUGGCAUCAGUUAAAAAAUUUGCGAAAAAUAGGUCAAAAACUUUCAACAACGGAUCUCUUGGUUCUGGCAUCGAUGAAGAACGCAGC